RNAcentral lists this ribosomal RNA (59 nucleotides) under Phomopsis oryzae. RNAcentral describes it as "partial 28S ribosomal RNA". Lineage: Eukaryota; Fungi; Ascomycota; Sordariomycetes; Diaporthales; Diaporthaceae. The record is from RNAcentral.
UUUGACCUCGGAUCAGGUAGGAAUACCCGCUGAACUUAAGCAUAUCAAUAAGCGGAAGA